UAUCUCACACGUGAAGUGAGGCUCUUCUAUCACACCUCUGCCAAGUCACAGGCUGUCAGUUUAUAGCCUCACACUCUGGACAAAAGGCACUCCUCUGCUUCUCCCCACCAAUUCGCAGUUCCCAUGCACCUGCCACAUUCCUGACCAUGGAAGCCCAUGCCUCAUGUCUGGCAGCAUCAUUGGUGGUGUAUGGGAACUGCUGAGUCAGGGCCUGAACCCACUGAUUGAUGGAGCACAGGUGAAGGCAAUUCAGCUGUGUGACUGGAAGGGGUGGAGCCUGGCUGCACCUCUCCUAGACCCCAUUUAAGGGCUGAUUGCCAUGGGGGAAAGGUUUCUUUCUGGAGCUCCCUCCUCUGUAGAGUCUUUCUUGCAAGCCUAGAUCUUCAGAUACAGGCUGGAUGGGAUCUCCAGUCUCUGCCUGGGAGUCAUUGCUUUGAAACCAGUGGCAUGGCAUUGGUUGCACUGGAAGAGAUCCUCAAUGAAAGGCAAGCCCUGAGGAAGAGGGAAGGACUGGGUCUGGCAUCCUCUGAGCUGCUGCACUCAGACAUCAGGAGGAGUCCAGCAGACAGCCCCGAGCUCCCUGCAGCCUCCAGGCAGUGUAAGAGAAACUACAGAGGCAGAUGUUCCUUUGGAGAAGCAGAAGACUUUGGUUUGGAUUAGAAGAAGGGCUGAAGUUCAGCAUGAAAGUCCAUUCCAGUUGCUCCAUUAGAACUUUUUUCAAGACAGGACAACAAGCAAUUUAAAAGAACAACAGAAAAUAAUAACAAAACAAAUCUAAACAAUUAAAAAAAUAAAAAAAUAAAAAAGCAAAAUGAGUAAGUUCUUCUUCCUUCUUCAUACUUUAGAAUCUGCAAUAGGACUCCACAAUGCCCGGACUCCCCGGCAUGGAAUAAUUUCUCCCUGUAGGGCAAGGGCCCAGACCUGGCCUCGGUCUGCAGGGCAGGCCCAGCUCUCUAUCAAUGCCCAAUGGCAGCAGUGAGCUCAGUCUCCAGACAGAACUUCAGGAGGAGGCAAACAGAGAGGGCAUCAGGAUUCACAGGAGAGGAUGGCCUGGGGCAGGUGCAGAAUCCAGCGCUUGCUCUUGUUCAACACAGUACUUUGGGAUUGUAGAGAGAUCCACUCUCAUAGGGAGCAAGCUACAAGAAGCAGUACAGAAAUACUUUUUGCAGUAGAUUUUAACCUCAGAGGACAAACAGGUCAUAUUAAUUGGAUUUCUGCAUAGAAUAUCUCUAGUCUUAAAUUUCACUGGCAGCAUAUGAUUUGCUCAACUGUUGAACUACAAUGUCUAGAUUUAUGUACAAGCACAUCCAUUUGAUGCACUGUUUGUAGACACCGCUGAAACACCUCCAAACCUGCAA
Meleagris gallopavo (turkey) is the source of this 1358-nucleotide non-coding RNA. Lineage: Eukaryota; Metazoa; Chordata; Aves; Galliformes; Phasianidae. The record is from RefSeq and is a predicted model, not a curated record.